RNAcentral lists this ribosomal RNA (468 nucleotides) under uncultured bacterium. RNAcentral's name for it is "partial 16S ribosomal RNA". It matches the Rfam family "Bacterial small subunit ribosomal RNA", at positions 28 to 507 of the family's 1533-position model. The record is from RNAcentral.
GACGAACGCUGGCGGCGUGCUUAACACAUGCAAGUCGAACGGAAAGGCCCUGCUUUUGUGGGGUGCUCGAGUGGCGAACGGGUGAGUAGCACGUGAGUAACCUGCCCUUGACUUUGGGAUAACUUCAGGAAACUGGGGCUAAUACCGGAUAGGAGCUCCUGCUGCAUGGUGGGGGUUGGAAAGUUUCGGCGGUUGGGGAUGGACUCGCGGCUUAUCAGCUUGUUGGUGGGGUAGUGGCUUACCAAGGCUUUGACGGGUAGCCGGCCUGAGAGGGUGGCCGGCCACAUUGGGACUGAGAUACGGCCCAGACUCCUACGGGAGGCAGCAGUGGGGAAUAUUGCACAAUGGGCGGAAGCCUGAUGCAGCAACGCCGCGUGCGGGAUGACGGCCUUCGGGUUGUAAACCGCUUUCGCCUGUGACGAAGCGUGAGUGACGGUAAUGGGUAAAGAAGCACCGGCUAACUACGUG